Molecule: long non-coding RNA, 567 nt
Organism: Myzus persicae (green peach aphid)
Lineage: Eukaryota; Metazoa; Arthropoda; Insecta; Hemiptera; Aphididae
Exons: 4
Source: RefSeq, a predicted model, not a curated record
AGCAGUAAAUAAUUUCAAAACAAAAAUACCUACAAUGCUAAAGUUUGUCCAGGCAGAAGCUGAAAAAAAGCGGAAAGAUAAUAAUCUGCAAACAAGAUUAAUGGAUAUAAUUAAAAACCACAGUAAUAAUAAAAAUAAUUAUAAUGAUUUUUUGACAAUAUUAUUGUGUUACAUGGCUAUAAUGAAGGAAAAUUUUGAGCUGAUGUUUAUUAUUUGAAGACACCUGUAGUCUUGAUGAAGUGCAAUCAAAUGAUAAAAUAAUAUCAACACCUGUUAUAGCUUGUCUCGGUGAUAUUUGGUCGAAUCCAAAAUGCUUUAUCUUUGUGGAUAAACAAUGUUUAUGGCGUGAACCAAUAGCAUUGGAAGAAGCAAUUUUGAUUAUGUUUAUGUCAUUUUUCGUAUUCAACAUUCAAUACCCUAAGGAAUUGGCUGGUAUUUUGCAGUAUCUGCAAAGUUCUAUGUUUGGUAUAAAUGAUGAAGGAAACAAAGUAAAAAAGAAAACUUCAGCCGAAAAAUUUGUUUCAAAAUUACUAAAACUAAUGAAGGAUUAUGACAGUUAUGUUAAAA